AUUUAUUAUCACACUAGCAUUUAAUUAUCACUGCAAACAAUUACGCUUCACUGAACUGUAAGUAAAGUACAAGAAAGUUAAAAUAACAAAACCUGUAAUUAUUACUUGUGAACGAAUAUCAUUCACAGUUAUAUUCCACAAUACUAUGCAAGAGCAUUUCAGUUGUGUAUAUGAGCACAUUUCACUAUUGUGUAUGAGAGCUUUUUACUAGUGUGUGUGAGAGCUUUUCAGUAGUGUGUGCGAGAGCAUUUCAGUAGUGUGUGCGAGAGCAUUUCAGUAGUGUGUGUGAGAGCAUUUCAGUUGUGUAUAUGAGCACAUUUCACUAUUGUGUAUGAGAGCUUUUCACUAGUGUGUGUGAGAGCAUUUCAGUAGUGUGUGAGAGAGCAUUUCAGUAGUGUGUGUGAGAGCAUUUCAGUAGUGUGUGCGAGAGCAUUUCAGUAGUGUGUGUGAGAGCAUUUCAGUUGUGUAUAUGAGCACAUUUCACUAUUGUGUAUGAGAGCUUUUCACUAGUGUGUGUGAGAGCAUUUCAGUAGUGUGUGAGAGAGCAUUUCAGUAGUGUGUGCGAGAGCAUUUCAGUAGUGUGUGUGAGAGCAUUUCAGUAGUGUGUGCGAGAGCAUUUCAGUAGUGUGUGUGAGAGCAUUUCAGUAGUGUGUGUGAGAGCAUUUCAGUAGUGUGUGUGAGAGAGUAUAGUUUUUCAGUAGUGUGUGUGAGAGCAUUUCAGUAGUGUGUGUGAGAGCGUAUAGUUUUUCAGUAGUGUGUGUGAGAGCAUUUCAGUAGUGUGUGUGAGAGAGUAUAGUUUUUCAGUAGUGUGUGUGGGAGCAUUUCAGUUGUGUGUGUGAGCGUAUUGUUUUUCAGUACUGUGUGUGAGAGCAUUUCAUAUGUGUUUGUGAGAGCUUUUCAGUAGUGUGUGUGAGAGGAUAUUCUGAAUAAUGUCCCUCACGGCCCCUCAUAUUUGAAAGUGAUUGAAAAUGGCAAACACAAGGAUGUGCACAUCAGAGAGGGAGAGAUGUUCCUGCUGCCGGCUCGGAUACCCCACUCCCCACAGAGACAGGCCAACACUGUGGGGCUGGUGGUGGAGAGGAGACGUCUGCUGACUGAGACUGACUGCUUGAGGUACCAUGUGGAAAACACCACUGACAUCCUGUUUGAGAAAUGGUUUUAUUGUCAGAAACUUGGAACCUGUCAUGGGAAUUUCUCAAUAGUCAAGCACAAGUCAUUACAAUGUCUUUCUGGAAGUUUAUUCUACAUCUGCAGAUGGGCAUCAAUGUACAAGACCAUGGAAUGGAUUUCAUACAAUGAGCAAUGACAUACAGGAAAAGCAGCACUUUAUACAUCUCCAAGCCCCUCCUAGAGAGGAGACAAAUGUUAUCGAUCAACCUCUUUCAUGUUAAGCAAUAGGUGACCCAUAUCCUGUCACCUAUCUUUCCCAGACCUUUGGAAUGUAGCAUCUACUGUUCAAGAUCCCUUGAGUAGUUUACAAACACAAAUCCUCUGUUCUGUUAAGUGAUUUGUUUGGUGACCUCGUCAGUGAGGAUGCCACAUAACAGUCAUGAGUGCAACCCUGACUUCUCAGGCAACAUUU
Pleuronectes platessa (European plaice) is the source of this 1582-nucleotide long non-coding RNA. RefSeq lists it as uncharacterized. Lineage: Eukaryota; Metazoa; Chordata; Actinopteri; Pleuronectiformes; Pleuronectidae. The transcript has 3 exons. The record is from RefSeq and is a predicted model, not a curated record.